AAAAAGAUAAAAAAAGAAAAAAAAAUCGUGAAAGCCAAGGCCCAUUUCACAAACCCUACCAAUUCUCUUCUCUAUCUCAUUCUACCAGCAGCAGCCACAUAAACCCAAGGCUCAUCUCUCAUUUUUUUUUGGAGUUCAUCUAUCACCGAGCCGUUGGCAGAAGUCUGGCGGGGCUCGAUCGGCGCAGCUGCAGAGGGACAGGACUUAGGGACUCGGGGUUCUACUCGGGGUUACCUCUGCUAGCUUCCUCCUGACGCCGAGGUUUUUGCUGCUGCUACCGACUGCUUGCUUCCUGAGGGAACUCAAAUAGCAGAAUGAAGGUUUGGCUCUAAGGAAGGACAUUGGAAUUCUCUGUAUGAUAAGUUGAUAUAUUAUAAGAACUACCUGAAACGCUUGGCAAAAGAGUUUCUGGACUAUGCAGGUACACAUGCCCAUAGCAGGUCCACACUGGAGGUUCUAGUCUUUUGGUUCAUUCAUGGUGAGCCAUUGUUUGUUGACAAACAUUAUCAGGCUAAGGAACUUUUAGACAUGAUUAUUGUUGCUCAGUUAGAGACCUCAACCAGGGAAAGCCAUCUCCAGUGCAAUGGACGUUCACUUUUGUUGGAUCUUAGAUUUCCACUUUUUCUGGAGAAUUUCAUUAUGGGAAUGCCUUAAGACUGUUACAUACCUUGGAAGAGGCAUCCAAAGUGUUAGUUAUCAGUAGUUGUGAUUGUUCAUGAAUAAAGUAAAUAUAAAACUUAACUUUCAGAAAUCUCUAGAGAGAGGGAGAUUUAUAUUUAACUAUUAUGGUUGGUUGGGCUAUUUGCAUGCAGAUUCUAUAGUUAAGUAAAUGCAAUUGUAGCCCUUCUCCACCCAAUUCACUGUACAAGAGAGAGAAAAGUGGAUGUGGUGUUUGAUAUGACUACAUUUCCUGAUUUUCUAGUUGGGUUGGGAGUUCUGUAUAUUGUGUUAAGGCCAAGACAACUGAAGCCAAAUGUCAAUUAAUUUUUGUAGUGAUUUGGAGAAGAGAAUUAUGUUGUCUUGUUGAAAUUUGUUGUAUUAUAUAUUUUGAAGUUUAUGGAUUUAUAAUUUUAUAAUGAAUUUUUAUUGAGAAUUA
Molecule: long non-coding RNA, 1096 nt
Organism: Humulus lupulus (European hop)
Lineage: Eukaryota; Viridiplantae; Streptophyta; Magnoliopsida; Rosales; Cannabaceae
Exons: 4
Source: RefSeq, a predicted model, not a curated record